Molecule: ribosomal RNA, 246 nt
Filed under: uncultured Cortinarius
Lineage: Eukaryota; Fungi; Basidiomycota; Agaricomycetes; Agaricales; Cortinariaceae
Description: partial 28S ribosomal RNA
Rfam family: Eukaryotic large subunit ribosomal RNA
Source: RNAcentral
GUGACCUCAAAUCAGGUAGGACUACCCGCUGAACUUAAGCAUAUCAAUAAGCGGAGGAAAAGAAACUAACAAGGAUUCCCCUAGUAACUGCGAGUGAAGCGGGAAAAGCUCAAAUUUAAAAUCUGUCAGUCUUUGGCUGUCCGAGUUGUAAUCUAGAGAAGUGUUAUCUGCGUUGGACCGUGUACAAGUCUCCUGGGAUGGAGCGUCAUAGAGGGUGAGAAUCCCGUCUUUGACACGGACUACCAA